UGAAGCUGCUGUUGUCACGUUUGUUUGUUUGUUGACAGCGCCUCGCACGUAAACACCAGGAGAAGACUCGUCGGGGGAAAAUGCGGCUGCUGUUCGACGCUCUGAGGAAGCAGGUCGGACUCAGCGGCUCGAGGACGUCGAAGAUCUCCACCCUGAACACGGCGGUGGAGGUUAUCCAAGAUCUGCAGAUGAUAGAGAUGGAAAUGGAGAAGAAGAAGGCGACGCUGAGGAAGAAGAGGGACCGAUAUCUGUGGAGACUCGUUCCAUCAUCAGCAGACCAAACUGAAGCUAACUCCAGGGAGGUCAUUGAUCUGAUCGACGACACCAUCGAAAUCUCAUCUGACGAGGAGAUUGAGGUGGACGAUGGCGAUCGGGGCGUUUCCAAGGCGACGGUGGAGGAAAACGUUCGGCUGAAGAGGAUGAGGAGAUCAGAUGUGGAUGAGACGCCAGGAACCACGAACUCUCCAAAGAAGCUGCAGCUCCAUCAGGCUCGUCAGGAGCUCCAGACUCUGCACAGCGCGAUAGAGGAGCUGAAGAGUCUGAAGACGAGUCUGAAGCAGCAGAGAGACACACAGAGUUCAGGUGAAAAACCAGGUAAGAGCGAGCAGAGAUCAGGAAGUCAGCAGCCAACAGGAGACACAAUUGAAGAUGGCAUCACGGCCACAUCACCUGACCCGCAGCCUCCACAAGCUCCUCCCACUUGUGGUUCUGCCCCACCCACUCCUACACCUGUCCAGCCUCUGGUCCAACAGGUAUUAAACACCGUCCUAGCUCAUUCUGCUGCGUCCCACAAUGCAUCUGUGCAGAGAGAUCGGCCGAGGACGAUUCCCAACAUCCUGUCUCGCAGGAAGACUCAUCCACAGCCACCUCAGAACACAACGACUGAAGAGGUCCAUCCUCCAGGUGAACCUCCGUCCAUCAAGGCUCUGAUCCCGACUGAGGUUCUGUCUCUGGUCCAGGCAGCAUUACCAGGACAACGAGUCUUGUUUGGCCCUCUGGAACCGACAGUGUUGCAGUCAACUCCGAGUCCAGACUUCAGCAUGCUCCAUGCGGUUCACCCUGCAACAACACAACAAGAACAGAAAGAACAACAACAACAGUUAGACAAACAACAACAACAGCAGACAGACAAACAACAACCGACGGACAAACAACAAACACAACAGAACCGGCCGUUGGACCCUCAGUCAGUCUCUGUUGGAUCGGACCGUAGCAGCGACCAGUCCGACCUCAGACCUUCAUCCUCGCCGUCUGUUAGCACCGACCGUCAGUCGCAGGUAAAAGGGGCGGGGCCUCAGGAGACCAACGGUGACCCGGACAACGAGAAUCUGGCAUUACUCCUCAACGAGAUCUUCUUCCUCAACCAGCAGAACAUCACCACGAUGACGGCAGCAGGGGUCCCAUCACCAGGGAAACCAACCUCUGAGGUGGGCGAAGCCAAGGAGCGAGACCACGUCCACAGACUCCCACAGCCAGACUCGGACUCUACCAGCACCGUUGCCAUAGAGACAGAGGGGGUGGGGCUUAAUGGCUAUGCAGAGGCGACUGGCGUGCAGGAGGGACCAGGAAACACUAAAGGAGCUGUGCUGACUCCGCCCCCUCUGCUGCAGAUGAAGGUGGGAGGGGCCAAGGUUGCCCCACCCACCAGCAGUGACAGCGCAGCAGGAGGGGCAUCAGCAGAGAGGAGGGAGGGGGGCAUGGCCUGGAGGCCGAUGCCGAGGCUGGUUCCUCUGGGGUUGAGGGGGAACCCGCCCUGCUGAUGUCACGCAUGAUGUCACCGCAGCUUCAGGACCUCAUUGGCGGUCUGUGGGCAGCGAACAUUUUCUGAUUGGUCAUCAGGAAGAGAAGCGGAUCACUGAUGUUUACAGUCGAGCAGAGAUCGUGUCACCUUAUUUAUUUUGUCAGCGCCGUCAUCCUUUCAGUCUGAGCUCCGUCGUUUGUUUGCUUUAGUCGUUGUUUCAGGAUCGUUUCAGAAUAAAGUUGAAACAGAAAAAAUCCCGAUACGGAACUGAUAACAGAUCAAUACUGUAAAAUAGACUGAGGCUGUUGCUAUGGCAAUGGCAGGUACCCUGUCGCCAGGGUAACCGCCUUCUGAGGCGACCGGAGGGAAAAAAGUUGAUAAAAUAUUCUGAAUAAUUUUGGUUGUUUCCAAACUGUAAUUUAAAUAUGUUUGGCCGCGAUCAAUCGAUUUAUUGAUCACCAGAAUAACAAUCAGCAGCUGUUUAAUUAAUCAAUGUCAUUUUUCUGAUGCAGUUUACAGGCAGAAAACAGCCGAUAGAAUAAUCAAUAAUAAUAAUGUUGCAGCUUCAUUCUAAUAAAGUUUCUGAUCAAUCAUGUCGACUAGUUUGAAGCUGAGAAAUAUCAAAACUUUAGGUUUGCUUUAUUGUUGGGAUUUUAUUGUGAAAUCCGACUUUAUUUAAACCACGAACAAAAUGUUAGAAGAACAGUUGUUUGUGUUUCAGGCAGCAACUCACCUGUCCAGCUAGAAAACAGACUCUAACCCGUUUCACUUCCUCUGAAUGUUUUGAGUCAAAAUAAUUUUUAUUUCUGGCCAAAUGAAGAUUCUGUCACCUGAAUUUAUCUUUCAGAACCGAUUUAGUUUCAUAUUUUUAAGAGCUAAUUUAAAACGUUUUCGACGGUUCAGUAAACUUCAUUGAUGCUGCUCAGACGAAAUAAGAACCAAACUGAAAGAAAAGUUAGUUUUUUAAAGCGUUAUUUUAUCCUGUUGAAAUGUUUUACUUUGAAAAACUCUGAAAACUCGAAAGACUACAGAAACAUAAAACUCCUCCUUUAAUAGAAGAACGAAACUUUCUGUUCCAAAUGUUGCAGCUUUACUCUGAAAAUCUGAAACUGACAGAAGCUUUAUUUUUGUACUUGAAGGUUUUCGUUCAUCGGCGUCACGAUGAAAUAUUUCAGCUGUUUCCGUUUUCAGGAAAUAAUAAACUAUGACAGGAAAGUUUCUUUGUGUUGAACUGUGAAAACUCCUCGAGUUGGUGAAGAAAACUCACCUGGACUGACUCACCUGGACUCACCUGUAAAGACUCAUCAGGACUGACUCACCUUAACUCACCUGGAGCGACUCACCUGUAAAGACUCACCUGGACUCACCUGUAAAGACUCACUUGGAAUGACUCAUCUGGACUCACCUAUAAAGACUCAUUUGUACUGACUCACCUGUACUGACUCACCUGGACUGACUCAUCUGGACUCACCUGUAAAGACUCAUUUGGACUGACUGACUCAUCUGGACUCACCUGUAAAGACUCAUUUGGACUGACUCACCUGGACUGACUUGCCUGUAAAGACUCUCCUGUACCUGCAAGCAGGAUUAAAGCAUCCGUCUGUCGUGCGGCUCUGCUUUGUUUUUCUUAAAUUUGUAUUUUUGUACGAGUUAAAGUUAAACUCUGUUAUCUGAAUAAAACUCUAAUAUCAAUAAAGUUUCACUACGAACGUCUGACUGCUGAGAUUUUAUCAAUGAAACUAAAAAAAAUUAAACUUACUGUUUGAAUAUCUGCUAAAACUCAGGAAAGGGACUUUUCUGAUUUACUAGACGACACAUGA
This is a long non-coding RNA of Amphiprion ocellaris (clown anemonefish), 3561 nucleotides long. Lineage: Eukaryota; Metazoa; Chordata; Actinopteri; Pomacentridae. The record is from Ensembl.